RNAcentral lists this transfer RNA (70 nucleotides) under Escherichia coli. Its description in RNAcentral is "tRNA-Asn". It matches the Rfam family "tRNA". Rfam says of the family: Transfer RNA (tRNA) molecules are approximately 80 nucleotides in length. Their secondary structure includes four short double-helical elements and three loops (D, anti-codon, and T loops). Lineage: Bacteria; Pseudomonadati; Pseudomonadota; Gammaproteobacteria; Enterobacterales; Enterobacteriaceae. RNAcentral also lists the same sequence under 14 other names. The record is from RNAcentral.
GUAGUUCAGUCGGUAGAACGGCGGACUGUUAAUCCGUAUGUCACUGGUUCGAGUCCAGUCAGAGGAGCCA